RNAcentral lists this ribosomal RNA (392 nucleotides) under uncultured bacterium. RNAcentral's name for it is "partial 16S ribosomal RNA". It matches the Rfam family "Bacterial small subunit ribosomal RNA", at positions 523 to 918 of the family's 1533-position model. The record is from RNAcentral.
AUACGGAGGAUCCGAGCGUUAUCCGGAUUUAUUGGGUUUAAAGGGUGCGCAGGCGGCCGUCCAAGUCCGGUGUUAAAUGGUCGGGCUCAACCCGAUCAUGCGCUGGAAACUGGGCGGCUGGAGUCCCGGAGGGGAUGCCGGAAUUCCAGGUGUAGGGGUGAAAUCUGUAGAUAUCUGGAAGAACACCGAUGGCGAAGGCAGGCAUCUGGCCGGAGACUGACGCUGAGGCGCGAAGGCGCGGGGAGCGAACAGGUUUAGAUACCCUGGUAGUCCGCGCAGUAAACGAUGCGCACCAGGUGUCGGGCGGCAGCGCCCGGUACCGGAGCAAACGCGAUGAGUGCGCCGCCUGGGGAGUAUGCCCGCAAGGGUGAAACUCAAAGGAAUUGACGGGG